This 440-nucleotide ribosomal RNA is filed under the name uncultured bacterium. RNAcentral's name for it is "partial 16S ribosomal RNA". It matches the Rfam family "Bacterial small subunit ribosomal RNA", at positions 338 to 795 of the family's 1533-position model. The record is from RNAcentral.
CCUACGGGUGGCAGCAGUAGGGAAUAUUGCUCAAUGGGGGAAACCCUGAAGCAGCAACGUCGCGUGGAGGAUGAAGGUUUUCGGAUUGUAAACUCCUUUUGUUAGAGGAGAUAAUGACGGUAUCUAACGAAUAAGCACCGGCCAACUCCGUGCCAGACGCCGCGGUAAUACGGAGGGUGCAAGCGUUACUCGGAAUCACUGGGCGUAAAGAGCGCGUAGGCGGGAUAGCAAGUCAGAUGUGAAAUCCUAUGGCUUAACCCUAGAACUGCAUUGGAAACUGUUAUUCUAGAGUAUGGGGGAGGUAGGUGGAAUUCUUGGUGUAGGGGUGAAAUGCGUAGAGAUGAAGAGGAAUACUGAUUGCGAAGGCGACCUGCUAGAACAUAACUGACGCUGAUGCGCGAAAGCGUGGGGAGCAAACAGGAUUAGAUACCCUUGUAGUC